AUGGCCCAGGAUGAACGCUAGCGGCAGGCUUAACACAUGCAAGUCGAGGGGCAUCGGGAGUAGCAAUACUGCCGGCGACCGGCGCAAGGAUGCGUAACGCGUGAGCAACAUGCCCGUAUCAGGGGGAUAAUCCAUGGAAACGUGGUCUAAUACCCCAUAGUAAUUAUGUAAGGCAUCUUAUAUAAUUUAAAGCUUUGGUGGAUACGGAUUGGCUCGCGUGACAUUAGCUAGAUGGUAAGGUAACGGCUUACCAUGGCUACGAUGUCUAGGGGUUCUGAGAGGAAGGCCCCCCACACUGGAACUGAGACACGGUCCAGACUCCUACGGGAGGCAGCAGUGAGGAAUAUUGGACGAUGGAUGGAAAUCUGAUCCAGCCAUGCCGCGUGCCAGGAAGACGGCCCUAUGGGUUGUAAACUGCUUUUGUAUGGGAGCAAUAAGGGCUACGCGUAGUCCGAUGAGAGUACCAUACGAAUAAGCACCGGCUAACUCCGUGCCAGCCGCAGC
Molecule: ribosomal RNA, 504 nt
Filed under: uncultured bacterium
Lineage: Bacteria
Description: bacterial SSU rRNA
Rfam family: Bacterial small subunit ribosomal RNA
Source: RNAcentral